RNAcentral lists this ribosomal RNA (504 nucleotides) under uncultured bacterium. RNAcentral's name for it is "bacterial SSU rRNA". It matches the Rfam family "Bacterial small subunit ribosomal RNA", at positions 791 to 1298 of the family's 1533-position model. The record is from RNAcentral.
UAGUCCACGCCGUAAACGAUGGUUACUAGCUGUUCGGACUUCGGUUCUGAGUGGCUAAGCGAAAAUGAUAAGUAACCCACCUGGGGAGUACGUUCGCAAGAAUGAAACUCAAAGGAAUUGACGGGGGCCCGCACAAGCGGUGGAGCAUGUGGUUUAAUUCGAUGAUACGCGAGGAACCUUACCAGGGCUUAAAUGUAGUCUGACAGCUUUAGAGAUAGAGUUUUCUUCGGGCAGAUUACAAGGUGCUGCAUGGUUGUCGUCAGCUCGUGCCGUGAGGUGUCAGGUUAAGUCCUAUAACGAGCGCAACCCCUGUUGUUAGUUGCCAGCGAGUCAAGUCGGGAACUCUAACAAGACUGCCAGUCGCAAACUGUAGAGGAGGGUGGGGAUGACGUCAAAUCAUCACGGCCCUUACGUCCUGGGCUACACACGUGCUACAAUGGUAGGGACAGAGAGCAGCCACUUCGCGAGAAGGAGCGAAUCUAUAAACCCUAUCACAGUUCGGAA